RNAcentral lists this ribosomal RNA (486 nucleotides) under uncultured bacterium. RNAcentral describes it as "partial 16S ribosomal RNA". It matches the Rfam family "Bacterial small subunit ribosomal RNA", at positions 28 to 507 of the family's 1533-position model. The record is from RNAcentral.
GAUGAACGCUGGCGGCGUGCCUAAUACAUGCAAGUCGAACGCUGGAACUCUAGCUUGCUAGAUUGAAGGAGUGGCGAACGGGUGAGUAAUACAUAAGCAACCUACCCACGAAGACUGGGAUAAUCUCUGGAAACGGGGACCAAUACCGGAUAGGUAAUCGGAAGGCAUCUUCUGAUUAUUAAAGGUUAAAAACACUGGUGGAUGGGCUUAUGGCGCAUUAGUUAGUUGGUGAGGUAACGGCCCACCAAGACGAUGAUGCGUAGCCGGCCUGAGAGGGUGAACGGCCACAUUGGGACUGAGACACGGCCCAGACUCCUACGAGAGGCAGCAGUAGGGAAUUUGCGGCAAUGGGGGAAACCCUGACCGAGCAACGCCGCGUGAGUGAUUACGGCCUUCGGGUUGUAAAGCUCUGUUGUAAGGGAAGAACGGUAGAUAGAGAAUAUCUAAAUGACGGUACCUUACCAGAAAGCCACGGCUAACUACGUG